RNAcentral lists this ribosomal RNA (497 nucleotides) under uncultured bacterium. Its description in RNAcentral is "partial 16S ribosomal RNA". It matches the Rfam family "Bacterial small subunit ribosomal RNA", at positions 28 to 507 of the family's 1533-position model. The record is from RNAcentral.
GAUGAACGCUGGCGGCGUGCCUAAUACAUGCAAGUCGAGCGAACAGACGAGGAGCUUGCUCCUCUGACGUUAGCGGCGGACGGGUGAGUAACACGUGGAUAACCUACCUAUAAGACUGGGAUAACUUCGGGAAACCGGAGCUAAUACCGGAUCAUAUAUUGAACCGCAUGGUUCAAUAGUGAAAGACGGUUUUGCUGUCACUUAUAGAUGGAUCCGCGCCGCAUUAGCUAGUUGGUAAGGUAACGGCUUACCAAGGCAACGAUGCGUAGCCGACCUGAGAGGGUGAUCAGCCACACUGGAACUGAGACACGGUCCAGACUCCUACGGGAGGCAGCAGUAGGGAAUCUUCCGCAAUGGGCGAAAGCCUGACGGAGCAACGCCGCGUGAGUGAUGAAGGUCUUCGGAUCGUAAAACUCUGUUAUUAGGGAAGAACAAAUGUGUAAGUAACUAUGCACGUCUUGACGGUACCUAAUCAGAAAGCCACGGCUAACUACGUG